RNAcentral lists this long non-coding RNA (919 nucleotides) under Homo sapiens (human). RNAcentral describes it as "HSALNT0039031". The record is from RNAcentral. Lineage: Eukaryota; Metazoa; Chordata; Mammalia; Primates; Hominidae.
AAAAAAGUUUCAGGUACUCUUGACACUCCUGAGAAGACUGUGGAUAGCCAGGGCCCCACACCAGUUUGUACACCAACAUUUUUGGAGAGGCGAAAAUCUCAAGUGGCUGAACUGAAUGAUGAUGAUAAAGAUGAUGAAAUAGUUUUCAAACAGCCCAUAUCCUGUGUAAAAGAAGAAAUACAAGAGACUCAAACACCUACACAUUCACGGAAAAAAAGACGAAGAAGCAGCAAUCAGUGAUUUUCAAUGUAUUAUAUUUCUUUUGAAAAAUAUAAUAUUUUUAUGAGAGUGGACUUUGUAUUUCACUAGGUACAAUGGAAUACAACCUUUGACAAGAUUUUCAGAGGAAAAAUACACUGUUUGGUCAAGUUAAGGAAAGCAGUGUGUAAUUUUGGAUUGCCUGCCCUUGGCUGAAAUACAGGGGUGCAUACCAUCUUGCAGUGGCUUGGCUGACAUUGCCUCUUUGUCCUGGCCUCUAGUUUUCUUUUGAUAUUUCAUAGCUCUCCUUAGUUUACUCUGCCUGGAUAGAAAGUUGACCACUAACUGCAGGUUUAAGUACUAAACUGCAGCCUUUUCUGUCGCCAGCAAUUAAAGACCACCAAUCUUGUUUGUCCAUCUACAUGGUUUGUCGGGGACAUUUAACUCAUGGAGGUGCUUUAGAUUUCAACAUCAGAUGGUUGAAGCUGGAAGUUUAAUUAUAUGUAGAGUGAGAAGGCAGUUCCAGUUUUAGCACAGAUUUGUUUAUGUGUUCAGAUUUUAAUAGAGAUUCAAAAAUGACUCAUUUUUACCAAUAAUGUUAAAUUAGUUUUGGUUGUGCUAGCAUGAAUUAAUAACCACCAUUUUAUACCAGUAUCAUCAGUGAAGAAUUGUAUUUCAAGAUUCAAACAAUAACCAGCAAUUAAACUUUUUUCUACAAUGU